UGCCAGCUGAAAAGGCUGCUUCUCUUGAUGGUCUCUUGAUACUACAGUCCCUCCAUGUACUGGAGGCUUUUCACUUCUAGGCCUUUCUAGGCACUCUGGUUGCUUCUGACAUCCUUCCCCACCACCCUCUGCUUCCUUCCUUGGCAAAACCUCUGGAAUAAGAUAUUCCUCUGACAAUGUGUGGACUGAAAAUCCAUGCUGAUCCGUUCAUCUGAAGGUGGUUGUCUCAGAUCUGGUCAAGCUCAGCAGUGAUUGAAUAUCGUCACCAUGUGACGGCUGUUUGGGAUCUGUGUGAAAUGCUUGAUGGGUUCAGUG
This is a long non-coding RNA of Cygnus olor (mute swan), 315 nucleotides long. RefSeq lists it as uncharacterized. The transcript has 3 exons. The record is from RefSeq and is a predicted model, not a curated record. NCBI's taxonomy places the organism in Eukaryota, Metazoa, Chordata, Aves, Anseriformes, Anatidae.